RNAcentral lists this ribosomal RNA (467 nucleotides) under uncultured bacterium. RNAcentral describes it as "partial 16S ribosomal RNA". It matches the Rfam family "Bacterial small subunit ribosomal RNA", at positions 28 to 506 of the family's 1533-position model. The record is from RNAcentral.
GACGAACGCUGGCGGCGUGCUUAACACAUGCAAGUCGAACGGAAAGGCCCUGCUUUUGUGGGGUGCUCGAGUGGCGAACGGGUGAGUAACACGUGAGUAACCUGCCCUUGACUUUGGGAUAACUUCAGGAAACUGGGGCUAAUACCGGAUAGGAGCUCCUGCUGCAUGGUGGGGGUUGGAAAGUUUCGGCGGUUGGGGAUGGACUCGCGGCUUAUCAGCUUGUUGGUGGGGUAGUGGCUUACCAAGGCUUUGACGGGUAGCCGGCCUGAGAGGGUGACCGGCCACAUUGGGACGGAGAUACGGCCCAGACUCCUACGGGAGGCAGCAGUGGGGAAUAUUGCACAAUGGGCGGAAGCCUGAUGCAGCAACGCCGCGUGCGGGAUGACGGCCUUCGGGUUGUAAACCGCUUUCGCCUGUGACGAAGCGUGAGUGACGGUAAUGGGGAAAGAAGCACCGGCGAACUACGU